This 250-nucleotide unclassified non-coding RNA is filed under the name fungal sp. RNAcentral's name for it is "partial internal transcribed spacer region". The stretch from base 1 to 46 matches the Rfam family "Eukaryotic small subunit ribosomal RNA", at positions 1786 to 1831 of the family's 1831-position model. Lineage: Eukaryota; Fungi. The record is from RNAcentral.
AAGUCGUAACAAGGUUUCCGUAGGUGAACCUGCGGAAGGAUCAUUACCAAAUCCAAAUACCCAACCCCAUGUGAACUAUUGUUUUGUUGUCCUUGGGGGGAAAAGGGUUUGUUUACAAAUUUCUUUUCCCCCCGAAAGAAUCCGGCACUUCGGUGCUUGUGAUUCUUUGAUAAACUACUAAUUAUUGUAUUGGAAUUUUAAUAAAAAAAUUAAUAAAAGACAACUUUUAACGGUGGAUCUCUUGGCUCGU